GUUAAACGGCCGCGGUACCCUAACCGUGCGAAGGUAGCGCAAUCACUUGUUCUUUAAAUGAGGACUAGUAUGAAUGGCAUCACGAGGGUUACACUGUCUCCCACCUCUAAUCAAUGAAACUGAUCCCCCCGUGAAGAAGCGGGGAUAAGAAUAUAAGACGAGAAGACCCCAUGGAGCUUUAAACUCAGUAUCAACCACCAAGACUCAUAACAUAAGAAUAGGGGGCCCUGAUUACUAGUUUUUGGUUGGGGUGACCGCGGAGUAAAAUGAAACCUCCACAAUGAAUGACACCUCCCCUCUUAUCCAAGAGCCUACAACUCUAAGAAUCAAUAUAUUGACAUCCAUUGACCCAAACAACUUUGAUCAACGAACCAAGUUACCCUGGGGAUAACAGCGCAAUCCAUUUCAAGAGCCCCUAUCGACAAAUGGGUUUACGACCUCGAUGUUGGAUCAGGGUGUCCCAGUGGUGCAGCCGCUACUAAAGGUUCGUUUGUUCAACGAUUAAAACCC
RNAcentral lists this ribosomal RNA (510 nucleotides) under Dermatonotus muelleri (Mueller's termite frog). Its description in RNAcentral is "partial 16S ribosomal RNA". It matches the Rfam family "Bacterial large subunit ribosomal RNA", at positions 1922 to 2596 of the family's 2925-position model. Lineage: Eukaryota; Metazoa; Chordata; Amphibia; Anura; Microhylidae. The record is from RNAcentral.